RNAcentral lists this non-coding RNA (27 nucleotides) under Mus musculus (house mouse). Lineage: Eukaryota; Metazoa; Chordata; Mammalia; Rodentia; Muridae. The record is from RNAcentral.
UGGAGAACUCAGCUUUCAUAUGCCAGC